Strigops habroptila (Kakapo) is the source of this 573-nucleotide long non-coding RNA. RefSeq lists it as uncharacterized. The transcript is spliced from 4 exons. NCBI's taxonomy places the organism in Eukaryota, Metazoa, Chordata, Aves, Psittaciformes, Psittacidae. The record is from RefSeq and is a predicted model, not a curated record.
GAUUACAGCGCUUAAAGGCAUAUAAGGAUGAUGAACAAGUGGAAAGGAUCUUAUGUCUUCACAUCCACAGGGAGUUCCGUGCCUCUGUCCUUUUGGCAUUAGUCAUCUGAGAUUUCACUGGCCUCUGCAGGAAUUAUGGUCACAUUCUUCCGCACAGCUUCUGCACCCUUCCAUCAUGCUCCAAAGGCGAUGUCUCAGCCCCAUCAAGGACAACAACAUACACCUGGAAGUGGAGAACUGCUCACAGAAAACACCAACAGCCCAGGUGAUUCUGUGUCUGAAUUAAACAGCCAGUAGGGCUUUCCUACUGCUAGGACUGAAUCCCAGCGCAGAGCCGAAGCCACAGGCAAGAGGAUGACAAACAAGAGGCACACCAGGAGAUCUUCAUUAGCACUGGGAGGCAAUCAGGACAUCCACAUGAUAAGUGCCAUAAAAAGCUGCCCGUGCAAUGUGUCCAUCACUCAGCCAGCCAAGCCUGAGCCGAGUCCUCCCCUCUUGCCUCCUGUCACACAAGCAAGACAGCCCGAAUUUAAAAGCCAAGGAACUGUCUGCCAUUUUCUCUGGUAUUUUAGC